CAAGGAAUUUUCCGCAAUGGGGGCAACCCUGACGGAGCAACGCCGCGUGCUGGAUGACGCUUUUCGGAGUGUAAACCGCUUUUCUCGGGGAGGAUGGAGGACAGUACCCGAGGAAGAAGGCCCGGCUAACUACGUGCCAGCAGCCGCGGUAAUACGUAGGGGCCGAGCGUUGUCCGGAGUUAUUGGGCGUAAAGCGUGCGCAGGCGGCCUCGCGCGCCCGACGUGAAAGCCCCCGGCUUAACCGGGGAGGGUCGUUGGGGACGGCGGUGCUUGCGGGCGGGAGAGGUCGGUGGAAUUCCCGGUGUAGUGGUGAAAUGCGUAGAGAUCGGGAGGAACACCUGUGGCGAAGGCGGCCGACUGGGCCGACCCUGACGCUGAGGCGCGAAGGGGUGGGGAGCGAACGGG
This 405-nucleotide ribosomal RNA is filed under the name Bacillota bacterium. Its description in RNAcentral is "Firmicutes bacterium partial 16S ribosomal RNA". It matches the Rfam family "Bacterial small subunit ribosomal RNA", at positions 355 to 776 of the family's 1533-position model. Lineage: Bacteria; Bacillati; Bacillota. The record is from RNAcentral.